This 900-nucleotide ribosomal RNA is filed under the name Triticum aestivum (bread wheat). RNAcentral describes it as "partial small subunit ribosomal RNA". The record is from RNAcentral. Lineage: Eukaryota; Viridiplantae; Streptophyta; Magnoliopsida; Poales; Poaceae.
AUGGCCCAAGGCCCACCUAAACCCUUCCUAACCCUAGCCCGAUCCCCUCGCAGCAUCUCUUCCUCUCGUUCCCGUGCCCGCCGCCACACCCGCACGCAGCCUCGAUCUCCAUCUCCCUCUCGUCUCCUCCCUCGCGCUCCUCCCUCCUCUCGCUCGCGCCCUCCUCCCGACCUCAACCUCCUUCCUCUCGCCCCCUCUCAGCCUCCCGCCGACGCCCCCUCGCCAUCACCACAGCACCUCGCCUCCCUCCUCGAGCCAGAGGAGGAGCCCCGCACCCGUUUCCCCAGCGCCGACCUCCUCCUCGCUCCCAUGGCGUCGCCGCCCGUCAAGCUCCACCGCCGGCGCCCCGAGCCCUCCGCUCCGCCGUGCCUCCUCCCCUCUGCAGGCCCCCUCUCAUGGCGCCGCCUUGCCUCCAUGGCCGUCGCGCCUCCCUCUGCAGCACCAGGCCGCGGCCACCUCUCCUCGCCAUGGCCCUCGCGAGCUUCCUCCUGCCGCCACUGGAGGCCAACUCCGGCGCCCCUGCCUCGCGUCGCCCUCUGCUUCCGUCGACGCCGCCUCUCCUCCUGCUUCUCCUCGUCGCCACCGACCGCGGCUCCGCCUCCCCUCUGUUCCCUCCUACCCGUGCUCCUCGUCCGGCCCCGCCGUCCAGCCGCGCCGCACCCUCAAGCGCCUCGCCUCGCUGCUGCCUCCCCGCCACCCCGCAGCAUCUCGUCUACCGCCGCCGUGGGUUUUCCAUCAAGUUCGGCUACAGCACAAGGAUAUGUACAACUACGCGUAGUCGCCGAGUACGAUUACUCACGGGACCCGUCAAGUUCAUCUACGUGCGUGCACGACUACACAUCCGGGAUGCGUCCAGUACCUCUACGGAAGACACGAACGUCUAUGAACCGUGUACGAUGA